RNAcentral lists this long non-coding RNA (219 nucleotides) under Carica papaya (papaya). RNAcentral describes it as "long non-coding RNA (CPAP_LNC004649)". Lineage: Eukaryota; Viridiplantae; Streptophyta; Magnoliopsida; Brassicales; Caricaceae. The record is from RNAcentral.
CAUGUGUCUACCAUAUGGCACACGUAGAUUGGUGCCCCGGACACAUUAGCACACAACGUGUCCCAUUUUAUUCUAAAUUACAUAUAAGCCUUAAAUGCAAAAAUUCUAUUUAUUUAGGUCCCUGGCGAGUUUUUAAAUUUUAAAAAUAAUUCAAAAUGCCAUAUAGAGCACAGGGUGGAUAUAGAGCACGUAUUUUCACCCCAACAUCCCCUACUAAGG